GACGAACGCUGGCGGCGUGCUUAACACAUGCAAGUCGAACGGAAAGGCCCUGCUUUUGUGGGGUGCUCGAGUGGCGAACGGGUGAGUAACACGUGAGUAACCUGCCCUUGACUUUGGUAUAACUUCAGGAAACUGGGGCUAAUACCGGAUAGGAGCUCCUGCUGCAUGGUGGGGGUUGGAAAGUUUCGGCGGUUGGGGAUGGACUCGCGGCUUAUCAGCUUGUUGGUGGGGUAGUGGCUUACCAAGGCUUUGACGGGUAGCCGGCCUGAGAGGGUGACCGGCCACAUUGGGACUGAGAUACGGCCCAGACUCCUACGGGAGGCAGCAGUGGGGAAUAUUGCACAAUGGGCGGAAGCCUGAUGCAGCAACGCCGCGUGCGGGAUGACGGCCUUCGGGUUGUAAACCGCUUUCGCCUGUGACGAAGCGGGAGUGACGGUAAUGGGUAAAGAAGCACCGGCUAACUACGUG
This 468-nucleotide ribosomal RNA is filed under the name uncultured bacterium. RNAcentral's name for it is "partial 16S ribosomal RNA". It matches the Rfam family "Bacterial small subunit ribosomal RNA", at positions 28 to 507 of the family's 1533-position model. The record is from RNAcentral.